UACAGGGGUCCCGAGCGUUGUUCGGAUUCAUUGGGCGUAAAGGGUGCGUAGGCGGCGGGGUUAGUUUGAUGUGAAAUCCCGGGGCUCAACCCUGGAAUUGCAUUGAAUACUACCUUGCUAGAGUACCGGAGAGGAAACUGGAAUUUACGGUGUAGCAGUGAAAUGCGUAGAGAUCGUAAGGAAGACCAGUGGCGAAGGCGAGUUUCUGGACGGUAACUGACGCUGAGGCACGAAGGCCAGGGGAGCAAACGGG
This 253-nucleotide ribosomal RNA is filed under the name uncultured bacterium. Its description in RNAcentral is "partial 16S ribosomal RNA". It matches the Rfam family "Bacterial small subunit ribosomal RNA", at positions 524 to 776 of the family's 1533-position model. The record is from RNAcentral.